AGAAGCCCUACGGGGCCCACCAGCUGGGUGCUCCUUGAAAAUGACCACAAGCCAUGGGGCCUUCUGAACAGGCGCCUGUCCUGAGCGGUUCCUCCAGAACCUUCUGUGCUUCCACAUCAGGAAACAGUUCCAGCCAGACCACUGACCCACUGCCCCAGAGCAGCCGGCGAACACGGAGUUGGUGGGAAUCGGGGCGCUGACGGCUGACCCGGGCAGCGUGGAGCUGCUGCAUCGGGCGGUGCUUUUCAAGUCUCGGAAGCAGGACGUGAGCAUCCCUUCUGUGUUUGCGCCUCGUCAUACAUCCAGGGGAGAGGUGCUUGUCCCUGCGGAUUAAUUCCCAG
RNAcentral lists this long non-coding RNA (341 nucleotides) under Equus caballus (horse). RNAcentral's name for it is "lncRNA (ENSECAG00000055148.1)". Lineage: Eukaryota; Metazoa; Chordata; Mammalia; Perissodactyla; Equidae. The record is from RNAcentral.